GGAGGAAUAUUGGGCAAUGGACGAAAGUCUGACCCAGCAACGCCGCGUGAAGGAUGAAGGCCUUCGGGUCGUAAACUUCUUUUGAGGGAGACGAGAAAGGACGGUAUCCCUCGAAUAAGCCACGGCUAACUACGUGCCAGCAGCCGCGGUAAAACGUAGGUGGCGAGCGUUAUCCGGAUUCAUUGGGCGUAAAGAGCUUGUAGGUGGUGCGAUAAGUUGGACGUGAAAACUCCGGGCUUAACUUGGAGAGGCCGUUCAAUACUGUUGUGCUAGAGGGCGUCAGAGGGAAGUGGAAUUCCUGGUGUAGCAGUGAGAUGCGUAGAUAUCAGGAGGAACAUCCGUGGCGAAGGCGGCUUCCUGGGGCGCACCUGACACUGAGAAGCGAAAGCUAGGGGAGCAAACGGGAUUAGAAACCCCGGUAGUCCUAGCUGUAAACGAUGGAUGCUAGGUGUGAGUGGAUCUAACCCGCUCGUGCCGAAGCUAACGCGUUAAGCAUCCCGCCUGGGAACUACGAGCGCAAGCUUAAAACUUAAAUGAAUUGACGGGGUCAUAGCUGUUUCCU
This 562-nucleotide ribosomal RNA is filed under the name uncultured bacterium. Its description in RNAcentral is "partial 16S ribosomal RNA". It matches the Rfam family "Bacterial small subunit ribosomal RNA", at positions 355 to 1375 of the family's 1533-position model. The record is from RNAcentral.